This 198-nucleotide ribosomal RNA is filed under the name uncultured bacterium. Its description in RNAcentral is "partial 16S ribosomal RNA". It matches the Rfam family "Bacterial small subunit ribosomal RNA", at positions 328 to 539 of the family's 1533-position model. The record is from RNAcentral.
ACGCUCGACACCUACGGGAGGUAGCAGUGGGGAAUAUUGCACAAUGGGGGAAACCCUGAUGCAGCGACGCCGCGUGAAGGAAGAAGUAUCUCGGUAUGUAAACUUCUAUCAGCAGGGAAGAAAAUGACGGUACCUGACUAAGAAGCCCCGGCUAACUACGCGCCAACAGCCGCGGUAAUCUGAGCGGGCUGGCAAGGC